Molecule: long non-coding RNA, 444 nt
Organism: Hippocampus comes (tiger tail seahorse)
Lineage: Eukaryota; Metazoa; Chordata; Actinopteri; Syngnathiformes; Syngnathidae
Exons: 2
Source: RefSeq, a predicted model, not a curated record
UAUACUGUUCAUUGUAUGCUUCACACCCUGUGCUAAAGGAGGAGACUCUGACCGAGAUGGUUAGCAGCAAGUGGUUUGCUGAGGACAAGAAGCUGCUGUGCCUUGCGCGACAAAAGCAUGCCAAAGAAAACAACAUUCCAUUGUCUGUAUACACCAACAUUGGAACCCCACAGUCCAAAAAGUGCAUAUCGAUUUUUUUGUAUUUGUAGAUUGAAAUAUUUUAGAAAAUAUUCACACAAUGUACAAAUCCUUUUCUCUUAAUAGGCUAUUAUUUAUGGUCUCGCCGUGACCCACAAGGUCUCAGUGGCACAUGCCGAAAACUUAUUUAUUGUUGGACAAACGUUACACACAAGUGAAAGAGACCAAUUUGAGCAGAGGAUCGAAAAGGAGUUGCGACAACAAGGGAAGUGAAUGAGUGAGCAAUAAAGUGCUUUUUCAAAAAUA